Molecule: unclassified non-coding RNA, 236 nt
Filed under: plant metagenome
Description: partial contains small subunit ribosomal RNA, internal transcribed spacer 1, and 5.8S ribosomal RNA
Source: RNAcentral
UUUCCGUAGGUGAACCUGCGGAAGGAUCAUUACUUAGUGCGAGCCCCUCGGGGUCCAACAUCCCACCCGGGUUUAACGAACCUUGUUGCUUCGGCGGGCCCGCCUCACGGCCGCCGGGGGGGAUUUGCCCCCGGGCCCGCCCCCGCCGAAGCCCCCUGUGAACGCUCUCCGAAGUUUGCAGUCAAACACAAUUAUUAAAUUAAUUAAAACUUUCAACAACGGAUCUCUUGGUUCCG